GCGCCAUGGCGCUGUCCUGGCUGCAGCGCGUCGAGCUUGCGCUCUUUGCUGCCGCCUUCCUGUGCGGGGCCGUGGCGGCCGCGGCGAUGACUCGGACCCAGCAGCUGCAUCGAGGACUCCCACAGAGGUGCUAUAGGGCUGCGCAUUGCACUGGCCAUCUCAGCUAUAGCCGUCUUCCUGGUCUUGGUGUCUGCCUGUAUCCUUCGAUUUGGCACCAGGUCUCUCUGCAACUCCAUCAUCUCCUUGAACACUACAAUUAGCUGUUCUGAAGCCCAGAAAAUUCCAUGGACACCCCCUGGAACUGCUCUGCAGUUUUACUCCAACCUACACAAUGCUGAAACCUCUUCUUGGGUGAAUUUGGUAUUGUGGUGUGUGGUCUUGGUGCUCCAGGUCGUGCAGUGGAAGUCUGAAGCCACCCCAUACCGGCCUCUGGAGAGGGGUGACCCUGAGUGGAGCUCUGAGACAGAUGCUCUCGUUGGGUCACGCCUUUCCCAUUCCUGAAGAAUAAGCGGAGUGCUUCCUGCAGCCGAAGACUCCAUGCCCAAGUGCCUGUAAUCCCCCCCC
This 564-nucleotide long non-coding RNA is filed under the name Homo sapiens (human). Its description in RNAcentral is "HSALNT0176290". The record is from RNAcentral. Lineage: Eukaryota; Metazoa; Chordata; Mammalia; Primates; Hominidae.